This 1274-nucleotide ribosomal RNA is filed under the name Salmonella enterica. Its description in RNAcentral is "partial 23S ribosomal RNA". It matches the Rfam family "Bacterial large subunit ribosomal RNA", at positions 1677 to 2925 of the family's 2925-position model. The record is from RNAcentral. Lineage: Bacteria; Pseudomonadati; Pseudomonadota; Gammaproteobacteria; Enterobacterales; Enterobacteriaceae.
AAUACCAAGGCGCUUGAGAGAACUCGGGUGAAGGAACUAGGCAAAAUGGUGCCGUAACUUCGGGAGAAGGCACGCUGACACGUAGGUGAAGUGGUUUACCCAUGGAGCUGAAGUCAGUCGAAGAUACCAGCUGGCUGCAACUGUUUAUUAAAAACACAGCACUGUGCAAACACGAAAGUGGACGUAUACGGUGUGACGCCUGCCCGGUGCCGGAAGGUUAAUUGAUGGGGUCAGCGCAAGCGAAGCUCCUGAUCGAAGCCCCGGUAAACGGCGGCCGUAACUAUAACGGUCCUAAGGUAGCGAAAUUCCUUGUCGGGUAAGUUCCGACCUGCACGAAUGGCGUAAUGAUGGCCAGGCUGUCUCCACCCGGGACUCAGUGAAAUUGAACUCGCUGUGAAGAUGCAGUGUACCCGCGGCAAGACGGAAAGACCCCGUGAACCUUUACUAUAGCUUGACACUGAACACUGGUCCUUGAUGUGCAGGAUAGGUGGGAGGCUUUGAAGUGUGGACGCCAGUCUGCAUGGAGCCAUCCUUGAAAUACCACCCUUUAAUGGCUGGUGUUCUAACGUGGGCCCGUGAACCGGGUUGCGGACAGUGUCUGGUGGGUAGUUUGACUGGGGCGGUCUCCUCCUAAAGAGUAACGGAGGAGCACGAAGGUUGGCUAAUCCUGGUCGGACAUCAGGAGGUUAGUGCAAUGGCAUAAGCCAGCUUGACUGCGAGCGUGACGGCGCGAGCAGGUGCGAAAGCAGGUCAUAGUGAUCCGGUGGUUCUGAAUGGAAGGGCCAUCGCUCAACGGAUAAAAGGUACUCCGGGGAUAACAGGCUGAUACCGCCCAAGAGUUCAUAUCGACGGCGGUGUUUGGCACCUCGAUGUCGGCUCAUCACAUCCUGGGGCUGAAGUAGGUCCCAAGGGUAUGGCUGUUCGCCAUUUAAAGUGGUACGCGAGCUGGGUUUAGAACGUCGUGAGACAGUUCGGUCCCUAUCUGCCGUGGGCGCUGGAAGAUUGAGGGGGGCUGCUCCUAGUACGAGAGGACCGGAGUGGACGCAUCACUGGUGUUCGGGUUGUCAUGCCAAUGGCACUGCCCGGUAGCUACAUGCGGAAGAGAUAAGUGCUGAAAGCAUCUAAGCACGAAACUUGCCCCGAGAUGAAUCUUCCCUGAGCCUUUAAGGCUCCUGAAGGAACGUUGAAGACGACGACGUUGAUAGGCCGGGUGUGUAAGCGCAGCGAUGCGUUGAGCUAACCGGUACUAAUGAACCGUGAGGCUUAACCUUACA